RNAcentral lists this ribosomal RNA (253 nucleotides) under uncultured bacterium. Its description in RNAcentral is "partial 16S ribosomal RNA". It matches the Rfam family "Bacterial small subunit ribosomal RNA", at positions 524 to 776 of the family's 1533-position model. The record is from RNAcentral.
UACGUAGGGUGCGAGCGUUAAUCGGAAUUACUGGGCGUAAAGCGUGCGCAGGCGGUUAGCAAAGUCAGCUGUGAAAGCCCCGGGCUUAACCUGGGAAUGGCGGUUGAAACUAGUCGACUCGAAUCUGGCAGAGGGGGGUGGAAUUCCACGUGUAGCAGUGAAAUGCGUAGAGAUGUGGAGGAACACCGAUGGCGAAGGCAGCCCCCUGGGCUGAGAUUGACGCUCAGGCACGAAAGCGUGGGGAGCAAACAGG